Molecule: ribosomal RNA, 253 nt
Filed under: uncultured bacterium
Lineage: Bacteria
Description: partial 16S ribosomal RNA
Rfam family: Bacterial small subunit ribosomal RNA
Source: RNAcentral
UACGUAGGGUGCAAGCGUUGUCCGGAAUUAUUGGGCGUAAAGAGCUCGUAGGCGGUCUGUCGCAUCUGGUGUGAAAACUCAAGGCUUAACCUUGGGCCUGCAUCGGGUACGGGCAGACUAGAGUGCGGUAGGGGAGACUGGAAUUCCUGGUGUAGCGGCGAAAUGCGCAGAUAUCAGGAGGAACACCGGUGGCGAAGGCGGGUCUCUGGGCCGUAACUGACGCUGAGGAGCGAAAGCAUGGGGAGCGAACAGG